This 413-nucleotide ribosomal RNA is filed under the name uncultured prokaryote. RNAcentral's name for it is "bacterial SSU rRNA". It matches the Rfam family "Bacterial small subunit ribosomal RNA", at positions 505 to 918 of the family's 1533-position model. The record is from RNAcentral.
GUGUCAGCAGCCGCGGUAAUACGGAGGGGGUUAGCGUUGUUCGGAAUUACUGGGCGUAAAGCGCACGUAGGCGGAUCAGAAAGUUGGGGGUGAAAUCCCGGGGCUCAACCCCGGAACUGCCUCCAAAACUUCUGGUCUGGAGUUCGAGAGAGGUGAGUGGAAUUCCGAGUGUAGAGGUGAAAUUCGUAGAUAUUCGGAGGAACACCAGUGGCGAAGGCGGCUCACUGGCUCGAUACUGACGCUGAGGUGCGAAAGUGUGGGGAGCAAACAGGAUUAGAUACCCUGGUAGUCCACACCGUAAACGAUGAAUGCCAGUCGUCGGCGCGCAUGCGUGUCGGUGACACACCUAACGGAUUAAGCAUUCCGCCUGGGGAGUACGGUCGCAAGAUUAAAACUCAAAUGAAUUGGCGGGG